UGACAGUGACAAAAAGGAAGCAGCCUUCUCUAGCCCACCCAAGUUUCCAUCAAAGGAGCAAGCCUAUGUCAGUAAGAAGAAAGCUGGCUAACCCUCCCACCCCUUGUUUAACUCCUCCAGCCCAUCCCACAUCAUUGUAGAGUGAAGAGACUGCGGUUAAUAUUCAGAAAGAGGCGCAGAGAACUGAAGGCUUUCCUGACUUGACACCGAAUAAUAACGAAGGCCUGUGUGCUUUGCAGCAGCCUCCACGUCACCCUCUUCCAGGGCUCCGUCAGAGGACUAACGAUGUGCCACAAGAUGAUUGGCAGCAAGACACACCCAGUGAUGAAGGGAUGUGCUCUCCUUAAAUCACAGCCUAUUCAUCAGGUACUCCUGAGUGCUGUGUUAAGAAAUCCUGCCUACAAAGUUCCACUGAGGCUGAUAUAAAGAUGACUGUGAGAAACUGGCUGCGGCUGUCUGAGCAGAGACAGGAAUGGGGGCGGCAAAGGCGGGACAAGCAAGCAUCUUAAGUGAAAUAAUUGAUUGGACUGAUUCUGGAGUAUGACUUAUUCUGGAGGGAAUUUCUUAUUUUUGUUGCAGUUUGCUAUGGGACGGUUUCAAGGACAGGGAUUAGACUAGUUCUAGACUAAAAUAAAUGUAAGAGCUGUCCAAACUCAAAACAACUUGCACUGACAUAUCAUAAAAU
Molecule: non-coding RNA, 685 nt
Organism: Misgurnus anguillicaudatus (oriental weatherfish)
Lineage: Eukaryota; Metazoa; Chordata; Actinopteri; Cypriniformes; Cobitidae
Source: RefSeq, a predicted model, not a curated record